AACUUUUUUGUAGAUCUUACUUUGCUGAACAUUUUUGCUGUUUACAUUUACCUGGGACCUGUGUUAUAUAAGGUGCACUACACCCUCCUAUUACAUUCAACAGGGACCUGUGUUACAUGUAUAUAAGGUGCACUACACCCUCCUGUUACAUUCAACAGGGACCUGUGUUAUACAAGGUGCACUACAGCCUCCUAUGUUAUGUACACCAGGGACCUGUGUUAUAUAAGGUCAAUCACUAUGACCUUAUUUUCUACAAUGUUCUACAGAUCUUGUUUUGCUGAUUAUUAAUUCCUAUGGCAGUUUCUUACGAUAUAAUAUAAGUUUUAAGUAUACAGGUAAAAACAUGGAAACUAGCAAACAAUCUUCAUUUUAAUGGGGUUACACU
This 385-nucleotide long non-coding RNA is filed under the name Mytilus galloprovincialis (Mediterranean mussel). The record is from RNAcentral. Lineage: Eukaryota; Metazoa; Mollusca; Bivalvia; Mytilida; Mytilidae.